GCAAGCGUUGUUCGGAUUUACUGGGCGUAAAGGGCGCGUAGGCGGCCUCCGCAAGUCAGUUGUGAAAUCUCCGAGCUUAACUCGGAAAGGUCAACUGAUACUGCGGGGCUAGAGUGCGGAAGGGGCAACUGGAAUUCUUGGUGUAGCGGUGAAAUGCGUAGAUAUCAAGAGGAACACCUGCGGCGAAGGCGGGUUGCUGGGCCGACACUGACGCUGAGGCGCGAAAGCUAGGGGAGCGAACGGG
This 244-nucleotide ribosomal RNA is filed under the name uncultured bacterium. RNAcentral's name for it is "partial 16S ribosomal RNA". It matches the Rfam family "Bacterial small subunit ribosomal RNA", at positions 534 to 776 of the family's 1533-position model. The record is from RNAcentral.